RNAcentral lists this ribosomal RNA (253 nucleotides) under uncultured bacterium. RNAcentral's name for it is "partial 16S ribosomal RNA". It matches the Rfam family "Bacterial small subunit ribosomal RNA", at positions 524 to 776 of the family's 1533-position model. The record is from RNAcentral.
UACGUAGGGUGCAAGCGUUGUCCGGAAUUAUUGGGCGUAAAGAGCUCGUAGGCGGUCUGUUGCGUCGGCUGUGAAAACCCGGGGCUCAACCCCGGGCCUGCAGCCGAUACGGGCAGACUAGAGUUCGGUAGGGGAGUCUGGAAUUCCUGGUGUAGCGGUGAAAUGCGCAGAUAUCAGGAGGAACACCGGUGGCGAAGGCGGGACUCUGGGCCGAUACUGACGCUGAGGAGCGAAAGCGUGGGGAGCAAACAGG